ACCCGAUGCAAACUGCGAAUACCGGAGAAUGUUAUCACGGGAGACACACGGCGGGUGCUAACGUCCGUCGUGAAGAGGGAAACAACCCAGACCGCCAGCUAAGGUCCCAAAGUCAUGGUUAAGUGGGAAACGAUGUGGGAAGGCCCAGACAGCCAGGAUGUUGGCUUAGAAGCAGCCAUCAUUUAAAGAAAGCGUAAUAGCUCACUGGUCGAGUCGGCCUGCGCGGAAGAUGUAACGGGGCUAAACCAUGCACCGAAGCUGCGGCAGCGACGCUUAUGCGUUGUUGGGUAGGGGAGCGUUCUGUAAGCCUGCGAAGGUGUGCUGUGAGGCAUGCUGGAGGUAUCAGAAGUGCGAAUGCUGACAUAAGUAACGAUAAAGCGGGUGAAAAGCCCGCUCGCCGGAAGACCAAGGGUUCCUGUCCAACGUUAAUCGGGGCAGGGUGAGUCGACCCCUAAGGCGAGGCCGAAAGGCGUAGUCGAUGGGAAACAGGUUAAUAUUCCUGUACUUGGUGUUACUGCGAAGGGGGGACGGAGAAGGCUAUGUUGGCCGGGCGACGGUUGUCCCGGUUUAAGCGUGUAGGCUGGUUUUCCAGGCAAAUCCGGAAAAUCAAGGCUGAGGCGUGAUGACGAGGCACUACGGUGCUGAAGCAACAAAUGCCCUGCUUCCAGGAAAAGCCUCUAAGCAUCAGGUAACAUCAAAUCGUACCCCAAACCGACACAGGUGGUCAGGUAGAGAAUACCAAGGCGCUUGAGAGAACUCGGGUGAAGGAACUAGGCAAAAUGGUGCCGUAACUUCGGGAGAAGGCACGCUGAUAUGUAGGUGAAGUCCCUUGCGGAUGGAGCUGAAAUCAGUCGAAGAUACCAGCUGGCUGCAACUGUUUAUUAAAAACACAGCACUGUGCAAACACGAAAGUGGACGUAUACGGUGUGACGCCUGCCCGGUGCCGGAAGGUUAAUUGAUGGGGUCAGCGCAAGCGAAGCUCUUGAUCGAAGCCCCGGUAAACGGCGGCCGUAACUAUAACGGUCCUAAGGUAGCGAAAUUCCUUGUCGGGUAAGUUCCGACCUGCACGAAUGGCGUAAUGAUGGCCAGGCUGUCUCCACCCGAGACUCAGUGAAAUUGAACUCGCUGUGAAGAUGCAGUGUACCCGCGGCAAGACGGAAAGACCCCGUGAACCUUUACUAUAGCUUGACACUGAACAUUGAGCCUUGAUGUGUAGGAUAGGUGGGAGGCUUUGAAGUGUGGACGCCAGUCUGCAUGGAGCCGGCCUUGAAAUACCACCCUUUAAUGUUUGAUGUUCUAACGUGGACCCGUGAUCCGGGUUGCGGACAGUGUCUGGUGGGUAGUUUGACUGGGGCGGUCUCCUCCUAAAGAGUAACGGAGGAGCACGAAGGUUGGCUAAUCCUGGUCGGACAUCAGGAGGUUAGUGCAAUGGCAUAAGCCAGCUUGACUGCGAGCGUGACGGCGCGAGCAGGUGCGAAAGCAGGUCAUAGUGAUCCGGUGGUUCUGAAUGGAAGGGCCAUCGCUCAACGGAUAAAAGGUACUCCGGGGAUAACAGGCUGAUACCGCCCAAGAGUUCAUAUCGACGGCGGUGUUUGGCACCUCGAUGUCGGCUCAUCACAUCCUGGGGCUGAAGUAGGUCCCAAGGGUAUGGCUGUUCGCCAUUUAAAGUGGUACGCGAGCUGGGUUUAGAACGUCGUGAGACAGUUCGGUCCCUAUCUGCCGUGGGCGCUGGAGAACUGAGGGGGGCUGCUCCUAGUACGAGAGGACCGGAGUGGACGCAUCACUGGUGUUCGGGUUGUCAUGCCAAUGGCACUGCCCGGUAGCUAAAUGCGGAAGAGAUAAGUGCUGAAAGCAUCUAAGCACGAAACUUGCCCCGAGAUGAGUUCUCCCUGACCCUUUAAGGGUCCUGAAGGAACGUUGAAGACGACGACGUUGAUAGGCCGGGUGUGUAAGCGCAGCGAUGCGUUGAGCUAACCGGUACUAAUGAACCGUGAGGCUUAACCUUACAACGCCGAAG
Molecule: ribosomal RNA, 2017 nt
Filed under: Shigella sonnei
Lineage: Bacteria; Pseudomonadati; Pseudomonadota; Gammaproteobacteria; Enterobacterales; Enterobacteriaceae
Description: partial 23S ribosomal RNA
Rfam family: Bacterial large subunit ribosomal RNA
Source: RNAcentral